Pyrus x bretschneideri (Chinese white pear) is the source of this 1135-nucleotide long non-coding RNA. RefSeq lists it as uncharacterized. Lineage: Eukaryota; Viridiplantae; Streptophyta; Magnoliopsida; Rosales; Rosaceae. The record is from RefSeq and is a predicted model, not a curated record. The transcript has 3 exons.
UCUCCUUCAACACUCUUUCUACUGCUUUCUUCUUCAACCGAGGGAGAUGAAGAGGUUCUUCUCUUUUAGCUCUUGCCAAAAUUUUAGGAGGAGGAACUUAGUUAUCUUUUCCUUUGCUUGUGCAGAUUUGGACUGGUCAGAUUCCUUUCUUCAUCUCCAUUAGAGAUAAGGAAGAGAAGGAUAUCAGGUGACUACGGAGCAGAUCGACAAACACCAUGGGAGUAGAACAUCAACAAAUUUUGUUGAGGUGGUGUAAGGUUAACUACCUGAGUUUUGAGUUACAGCUCUAUUGUGGACUAGUAGAAAGGAGUCCUGAUGUAUAUAUCUUUUGGGUGAGCUGUGAAAGUAUUUUGUCUAGUUAGUCUUAGUCUGUAAAUGAUCCUUUUGUAGCAUUGUAAAUUAAGAUGACAUAGGCCACAAUGAGUCUCCACUUACCCGGGCAAUAUGAACCAUGUAACAUUUGAUCACUUGUCUUUUGGCUUUUAUAAUUUCUGCUCAUGUUUAUUUUUUCAUCAAAUCACCUGAUCAUGUUUUUCUUGUAAGAAGCCUUGAAGUUUCUUUGGGGAACUCGUUAAAAUCUGUGAGGCUUGAUCUGUUACAUUUUGAGAACCAUUAUGAAAUUUGGUUAUAUUCAAACUUGUGGCCGAUUAUCUACUAUUUAUUUUCACUUUUCUUAGAAUGGAAUCGAUUUCAUUUCCAAAGACUUUUAAAGUGAUUGAGGCUGCUGAAGUUUUUUUUUUUUCCUGAAAAAUAAACAGCAACAUAACUGUCUUGGACUUAAAUUUUACUGUACUUCCCGAACUCAAAAACCUAUGAAAUUUUUAAACAAGUUAGCGUUAUAUGUCUACUUUGGAUCUGGAAAUUUUCAUACAUUUUGAUUUGACGAGUUAUUUUUAGUGAAUUUUACUGUACAGAUCGUUUCUACAGUUUGUAUUAUAGCAAAAAGUCCUUAACUCUAAUUCUUAAAGUUACCUUUGUAGUUUGGUUUAAUAUAUUUGUUGAGUUUAAAUUUUUCAUUGACAUAAUAUUUAGUUAAUAUUUGUUUUACACUCUUAAACAACCACUUGGUUCUAUUUAUUUCUCUUAAUUUCACAUCUUGAUUUUUGGUGUGUGACAUAUGUAAUAUGAAAUUGGA